AUGAUUUGUCGUUGGUUUGUUGUCAAAUCAAGAACUGUAGUUGUGUUCUCGUUUUGCACUGUUGUCACAUCAAGAGCUGUAGUUGUGUCCUCGUUUUGCACUGUUGUCACAUCAAUAACUGUGGUUGUGUUCUGGUUUUGGUCUGUUGUCAAACUUGGGGUUGUUGUGAUUUGUCCUUGCGCUGUUGUCAUAUCAAGAACUGUAUUUGCGUUUUGGUUUUGCUUUGUUGUCAUUUCAGGAGUUGCGGUUGUGUUCUGGUUUUGCUCUGUAGAAACAGCAAGAACUGUAUUUGUGUUCUGGUUUUGCUUUGUUAUCACAUCAAGAACUGUAGUUGUGUUCUGGUUUUGUUCUGUUGUCAAUAUAGGGGCUGUGGUUGUGAUCUGGUUUUGCUCUGUUGUCAAUAUAGGGGCUGUGGUUGUGUUCUGGUUUUGCUCUGUUGUCAAUAUUGUGGCUGUGGUUGUGUUCUGGUUUUGUUCUGUUGUCACAUCAAGAGCUGUGGUUGUGAUCUGGUUUUGUUCUGUUGUCACAUCAAGAGCUGUAGUUGUGUUCUGGUUUUGUUCUGUUGUCACAUCAAGAACUGUAGUUGUGUUCUGGUUUUGUUCUGUUGUCACAUCAAGAACUGUAGUUGUGUUCUGGUUUUGUUCUGUUGUCACAUCAAGAGCUGUAGUUGUGUUCUGGUUUUGUUCUGUUGUCAAUAUUGUGGUUGUGGUUAUGUUCUGGUUUUGCUCUGUUGUCAAUAUUGUGGCUGUGGUUGUGAUCUGGUUUUGUUCUGUUGUCACAUCAAGAACUGUAGUUGUGUUCUGGUUUUGUUCUGUUGUCACAUCAAGAACUGUAGUUGUGAUCUGGUUUUGUUCUGUUGUCACAUCAAGAACUGUAGUUGUGUUCUGGUUUUGCUCUGUUGUAAAUAUUGUGGCUGUGGUUGUGUUCUGGUUUUGCUCUGUUGUCAAUAUUGUGGCUGUGGUUGUGUUCUGGUUUUGCUCUGUUGUCACAUCAAGAGUUGUGGUUGUGUUCUGGUUUUGCUCUGUUGUCAAUAUUGUGGCUGUGGUUGUGUUCUGGGUUUGUUCUGUUGUCACAUCAAGAACUGUAGUUGUUGUCUGGGUUUGUUCUGUUGUCACAUCAAGAGCUGUGGUUGUGUUCUGGUUUUGCUCUGUUGUCAAUAUUGUGGCUGUGGUUGUGUUCUGGGUUUGUUCUGUUGUCACAUCAAGAGCUGUGGUUGUGUUCUGGGUUUGUUCUGUUGUCACAUCAAGAACUGUAGUUGUGGUCUGGUUUUGCUCUGUUGUCACAUCAAGAACUGUAGUUGUGUUCUGGUUUUGCUCUGUUGUCAAUAUUGUGGCUGUGGUUGUGUUCUGGUUUUGUUCUGUUGUCACAUCAAUUGCUGUGGUUGUGUUCUGGUUUUGUUCUGUUGUCACAUCAAUUGCUGUGGUUGUGUUCUGGUUUUGUUCUGUUGUCACAUCAAUUGCUGUGGUUGUGUUCUGGUUUUGUUCUGUUGUCACAUCAAUUGCUGUGGUUGUGUUCUGGUUUUGUUCUGUUGUCACAUCAAGAACUGUAGUUGUGUUCUGGUUUUGCUCUGUUGUCACAUCAAGAACUGUAGUUGUGUUCUGGUUUUGCUCUGUUGUCAAUAUUGUGGCUGUGGUUGUGUUCUGGUUUUGUUCUGUUGUCACAUCAAUUGCUGUGGUUGUGUUCUGGUUUUGUUCUGUUGUCACAUCAAGAACUGUAGUUGUGAUCUGGUUUUGCUCUGUUGUCAAUAUUGUGGCUGUGGUUGUGUUCUGGUUUUGUUCUGUUGUCACAUCAAGAGCUGUGGUUGUGGUCUGGUUUUGCUCUGUUGUCACAUCAAGAACUGUAGUUGUUGUCUGGGUUUGUUCUGUUGUCACAUCAAGAGCUGUGGUUGUGUUCUGGGUUUGUUCUGUUGUCACAUCAAGAGCUGUGGUUGUGUUCUGGGUUUGUUCUGUUGUCACAUCAAGAGCUGUGGUUGUGUUCUGGUUUUGUUCUGUUGUCACAUCAAGAGCUGUAGUUGUGGUCUGGUUUUGUUCCAUUGUCAUAACAAGAGCUGUGGUUGUGUUCUGGUUUUGUUCUGUUGUCACAUCAAUUGCUGUGGUUGUGUUCUGGUUUUGUUCUGUUGUCACAUCAAGAACUGUAGUUGUGUUCUGGUUUUGCUCUGUUGUCACAUCAAGAACUGUAGUUGUGUUCUGGUUUUGCUCUGUUGUCAAUAUUGUGGCUGUGGUUGUGUUCUGGUUUUGUUCUGUUGUCACAUCAAUUGCUGUGGUUGUGUUCUGGUUUUGUUCUGUUGUCACAUCAAGAACUGUAGUUGUGGUCUGGGUUUGUUCUGUUGUCAAUAUUGUGGCUGUGGUUGUGUUCUGGUUUUGUUCUGUUGUCACAUCAAUUGCUGUGGUUGUGUUCUGGUUUUGUUCUGUUGUCACAUCAAGAACUGUAGUUGUGUUCUGGUUUUGCUCUGUUGUCAAUAUUGUGGCUGUGGUUGUGUUCUGGUUUUGUUCUGUUGUCACAUCAAUUGCUGUGGUUGUGUUCUGGUUUUGUUCUGUUGUCACAUCAAGAACUGUAGUUGUUGUCUGGGUUUGUUCUGUUGUCACAUCAAGAGCUGUGGUUGUGUUCUGGGUUUGUUCUGUUGUCACAUCAAGAGCUGUGGUUGUGUUCUGGGUUUGUUCUGUUGUCACAUCAAGAGCUGUGGUUGUGUUCUGGUUUUGUUCUGUUGUCACAUCAAGAGCUGUAGUUGUGGUCUGGUUUUGUUCCAUUGUCAUAACAAGAGCUGUGGUUGUGUUCUGGUUUUGUUCUGUUGUCACAUCAAGAACUGUGGUUGUGUUCUGGGUUUGUUCUGUUGUCACAUCAAGAGCUGUAGUUGUGGUCUGGUUUUGUUCCGUUGUCAUAACAAGAGCUGUGGUUGUGUUCUGGUUUUGCUCUGUUAUACUUGGGGUUGUCGUGAUUUGUGUUUGUUCUGUUGUCAUAUCAAGAACUGUAGUUGUGGUCUGGUUUUGUUCCAUUGUCAUAACAAGAGCUGUGGUUGUGUUCUGGUUUUGCUCUGUCAUCAUACUUGUGGUUGUCGUGAUUUGGUGUUGUUCUGUUGUCGUUACUGGGGCUGUGGUUGUGAUUUCACUUUGUUCUAUUGUCGUAUUUAAAGCAUUAAUUGUGUUUUGGUUUUGGUUUGUUGUAUUCACAGCUGUAGUUGUGUUACGGUUUUGUUCUUUUGUAUCUAUCGCUGUAGUUUGGUUUGUUGUCACGUUUGGGGCUGUAGUCAUGAUUUGGUUUUGUGCUAUUGUGGCUGUUGUGUUACCACCUUGCUCUGUUGUCAUAUUUGGGGCUGCAGUUGUGUUUUGAUUUUGUUCUAAAGUAUCUACAACUGUAGUUGUGUUACGGCUUGGGUUCGUUGUAUUACCAGCUGUUUGGUUACGGUUUUGCUCUAUUGUAUUUACAGGUGUAGUUGUGAUUUGGCUUUGUUUUGUUGUCAUAUUAGGGGCUAUAGUUGUGUUGUGGUUUUGCUCUAUUGUAUCUAUUGCUGUAGUUGUGCUUUGGGUUUGGUUUGUUGGCUUAUUUGAGGCUGUUGCUGUGUUACUGCUUUGCUCUGUUGUCGUAUUUAAGGCUGUAGUUGUGUUUUGAUUUGUCCCUGUUGUAUUUACAGCUGUAGUUGUGUCUUGACUUUGAUGUGUUGUUCUAUUCAGGACUGUGGCUGUGUUUUGGCUUUGCGCUGUGUUUACAGUAGAGGGUGUCGUGUUGUCGUUUUCUAUAGUUGUAUUUGAAGCCUCGGUUGUGUUUGAAUGAGGUAAUAUUAUAAUACUCGAGGCUGUGGUAGUAAUACUGCUUUGUAAGGUAUCUACUGGGACAGUUUGUGUGGUAUGUAGUGUUAUGUUGGCAGCAGUAGUUGCGUGUACGAUGGGUGAUGUAGGUUCUUCACGAUUUGAAAACACAAAGGUCUCCAAAUUGUUUUGAAAUGCCUGGUUGAGCUGGGAAAACAAAAAGGAUACACAUGAGCUGUACUGACACUUACACUUACUUUUGUACAUCUCCCUUUAAAAGCCAACAUCAAACCAUUAAACCA
Molecule: long non-coding RNA, 4045 nt
Organism: Gouania willdenowi (blunt-snouted clingfish)
Lineage: Eukaryota; Metazoa; Chordata; Actinopteri; Blenniiformes; Gobiesocidae
Source: Ensembl